This 447-nucleotide ribosomal RNA is filed under the name uncultured soil bacterium. RNAcentral's name for it is "bacterial SSU rRNA". It matches the Rfam family "Bacterial small subunit ribosomal RNA", at positions 26 to 522 of the family's 1533-position model. The record is from RNAcentral.
AGAACGAACGCUGGCGGCAUGCCUAAUACAUGCAAGUCGAACGAACUCUUCGGAGUUAGUGGCGCACGGGUGCGUAACGCGUGGGAAUCUGCCCCUUGGUUCGGAAUAACAGUUGGAAACGACUGCUAAUACCGGAUGAUGACGAAAGUCCAAAGAUUUAUCGCCAAGGGAUGAGCCCGCGUAGGAUUAGCUAGUUGGUGAGGUAAAGGCUCACCAAGGCGACGAUCCUUAGCUGGUCUGAGAGGAUGAUCAGCCACACUGGGACUGAGACACGGCCCAGACUCCUACGGGAGGCAGCAGUAGGGAAUAUUGGACAAUGGGCGAAAGCCUGAUCCAGCAAUGCCGCGUGGGUGAUGAAGGCCUUAGGUUGUAAAGCUCUUUUACCCGAGAUGAUAAUGACAGUAUCGGAGAAUAAGCCCCGGCUAACUCCGUAGCCAGCAAGCCGAC